RNAcentral lists this unclassified non-coding RNA (386 nucleotides) under fungal sp. RNAcentral describes it as "partial internal transcribed spacer region". The stretch from base 1 to 46 matches the Rfam family "Eukaryotic small subunit ribosomal RNA", at positions 1786 to 1831 of the family's 1831-position model. The record is from RNAcentral. Lineage: Eukaryota; Fungi.
AAGUCGUAACAAGGUUUCCGUAGGUGAACCUGCGGAAGGAUCAUUAACACAUAUCGUUAUAUAUACAAUAUAUAAGAAGUUAUAUAUAUAUAUAUAAUUAUAUAUACACCAAACAUUGUGAUCAACUUUUUUUUUCCACACCCUUUUUUCAACAAAAAUACAUAUAUUCUUUAUAUAUUAAAUAAAUAACAAGAUUACAAUUAUACAAAUUAUAUAUCAUAUAAUUAAACACUAUAUUGAUAUGUUUUUGUGUUUUGUUCUAUCAUGUUAAUUAGUAUAAUUUACAUUUUUUUUUUAUGUAAUAAUAUGAAUUUAGUUUAUAUUAUCUCUUAUAAAAAAAGAAAAACAAAACAAUACAACUGUUAACAAUGGAUAUCUUGGUUCUC